UUUACUACAACAGCUCCAUGAACGUAAGCACUUCAUUUAUAAAGAGAGCAACACAGAAAAAGGGACCUCUGAGAGGGUCUGGAAUUAGGGUUCAGAUACCAUCCAUCUGUUAUGUGCUUUGAAGAUGCCACUCCAUCUGUGGGAUUCAAUUUACAUAAACUGAAGACUAUUCUUCUGAGUUGAAGUGAGGAGAGGCAUCUAUCCUCUCCUCCUGCAAAAUUAUUUGAUCUCCUGGAAGCAAAAAGCCCACUAUGAAGUUGUUCUUGCCAUGGACUUCUGGAGGAGCUGACUAUCCUUUGGGAAGCUACAAAUACAGCCUUAAAAUCUGUUAGCAGGGAAGAGAGAGAGGCUUUUUCUGAGUGAUCAGUUAUUGACGGCCUUCUGUGCAUUGGGCCCUGUGCUAGAAGCUGAAGAGUAUUCAAAAAUGCAAGCCAUCAAAGAGAAGAUAAUAUAGUUGUGAGAUGAUAUGAGGAGAGAUCAAAGGAGAAGUCAGUGUCCAAGAUAGCAACCAAUCGGAGCCCUCACAAGGCUGCGCCCCAUUCAUGAACAAAGGAGCAUCCAGGCAUAGGGUUUGUCAGAGCUGGGUGCAGUGGUGGGUGCCUGUAAUUCGAGCUAUAACCGGAGGCUAAAAGAGGAUCGCCUGGGCCCAGGAGUGAGUUUAAGACCAGUGUGGAUAACACAGACUCUGUCUAAAAAAAAAGGCUCUCUUCCCCCUCCUUCCGCACAUUCACCCUGAGUGACCUCAUCCUCUCCCAUGACUCUCCCCCUGCAUGAGCGCUGAGAUGCCCAGUUCCACCAUCUCCGUUCCAGACUCAUCUAAUCAGCUGCCUUCUGGCCGUGUCUGUCUCCAUUGAUACUUCUCACUCAGCAUGUCCAAGGCUGAGCUCAUCACUCUCGCUCCACCUCCCCUCUCCUCUUCCUGCAUCCCUGUCCUCCGUGAGCAGCAUCACCAUCUACCUUGUGGCCUGGACGUGAAUCCUGAAACUUCCUCCUUGUGUUGGAUUCUCCAGUGAGCACAAAAAAAGCACAGGCUUGGAACACCAAGGAAACAAACACAAGUGAUGACUGCACAGUGUGCGGGCAGGAAUGCUUAUUGUUUUGGACUCUGCUGUUCCCCUGGCCCUGGAACGGUGCUUGGCAUGCAGAAGGCACUCAACAAACAUUUGAUGAAUGCAUGAACUGAUGAAUAAACAAAUAAAUGGA
Long non-coding RNA from Cercocebus atys (sooty mangabey), 1203 nucleotides. RefSeq lists it as uncharacterized. Lineage: Eukaryota; Metazoa; Chordata; Mammalia; Primates; Cercopithecidae. The transcript is spliced from 6 exons. The record is from RefSeq and is a predicted model, not a curated record.